GCAAACUUGGUCAUUUAGAGGAAGUAAAAGUCGUAACAAGGUUUCCGUAGGUGAACCUGCGGAAGGAUCAUUAACGUGUUCGUUCGGCCGUCGGGUCGGCCCUGCACCGGCGGAGACGCCGUGCUGCGGGCUCCCGGCGCGCCUUCCAAACCAAACCCCUGUGAACCUUUGGGAGGGCGGAACCCGUCCGCGGGCGACGCCGUCCCCUUUACAAACUCUUUUGCAUCUCGUAGAAUGACCGCGGACCUCGUCCGCCUAAACACAUAACAACUUUCAACAACGGAUCUCUUGGCUCUCGCAUCGAUGAAGAACGCAGC
RNAcentral lists this unclassified non-coding RNA (317 nucleotides) under uncultured fungus. RNAcentral describes it as "partial contains small subunit ribosomal RNA, internal transcribed spacer 1, and 5.8S ribosomal RNA". The stretch from base 1 to 73 matches the Rfam family "Eukaryotic small subunit ribosomal RNA", at positions 1759 to 1831 of the family's 1831-position model. The record is from RNAcentral. Lineage: Eukaryota; Fungi.